Molecule: ribosomal RNA, 497 nt
Filed under: uncultured bacterium
Lineage: Bacteria
Description: partial 16S ribosomal RNA
Rfam family: Bacterial small subunit ribosomal RNA
Source: RNAcentral
GAUGAACGCUGGCGGCGUGCCUAAUACAUGCAAGUCGAGCGAACGGACGAGAAGCUUGCUUUUCUGAUGUUAGCGGCGGACGGGUGAGUAACACGUGGAUAACCUACCUAUAAGACUGGGAUAACUUCGGGAAACCGGAGCUAAUACCGGAUAAUAUUUUGAACCGCAUGGUUCAAAAGUGAAAGACGGUCUUGCUGUCACUUAUAGAUGGAUCCGCGCUGCAUUAGCUAGUUGGUAAGGUAACGGCUUACCAAGGCAACGAUGCAUAGCCGACCUGAGAGGGUGAUCGGGCACACUGGAACUUGGACACCGUCCAGACUCCUACGGGAGGCAGCAGUAGGGAAUCUUCCGGAAUGGGCGAAAGCCUUACGGAGCAACGCCGCGUGAGUGAUGGAGGUCUUCGGAUCGGAAAACUCUGGUAUUAGGGAAGAACAUAUGUGUAAGGAACUGUGCACAUCUUGACGGGACCUAAUCAGAAAGCCACGGCUAACUACGUG